CGCGUAGGCGGUUCGUUAAGUUGCUGGUGAAAUCCCGGGGCUCAACUCCGGGGCUGCCGGCAAGACUGGCGGGCUAGAGCACGGUAGAGGCAGAUGGAAUUCCCGGUGUAGCGGUGGAAUGCGUAGAUAUCGGGAAGAAUACCGGUGGCGAAGGCGUUCUGCUGGGCCGUUGCUGACGCUGAGGCGCGACAGCGUGGGGAGCAAACA
RNAcentral lists this ribosomal RNA (207 nucleotides) under uncultured bacterium. RNAcentral describes it as "partial 16S ribosomal RNA". It matches the Rfam family "Bacterial small subunit ribosomal RNA", at positions 568 to 774 of the family's 1533-position model. The record is from RNAcentral.